RNAcentral lists this ribosomal RNA (106 nucleotides) under Salmonella enterica. The record is from RNAcentral. Lineage: Bacteria; Pseudomonadati; Pseudomonadota; Gammaproteobacteria; Enterobacterales; Enterobacteriaceae. RNAcentral also lists the same sequence under 5 other names.
CCUGGCGGCACUAGCGCGGUGGUCCCACCUGACCCCAUGCCGAACUCAGAAGUGAAACGCCGUAGCGCCGAUGGUAGUGUGGGGUCUCCCCAUGCGAGAGUAGGGA